This 497-nucleotide ribosomal RNA is filed under the name uncultured bacterium. RNAcentral's name for it is "partial 16S ribosomal RNA". It matches the Rfam family "Bacterial small subunit ribosomal RNA", at positions 30 to 507 of the family's 1533-position model. The record is from RNAcentral.
AUUGAACGCUGGCGGCAGGCCCAACACAUGCCAGUCGAACGGUAACAGGAAGCACCUUGCUGCCUUGCUGACGCGUGGCGCACGGGAGUGUAAUGUCUGGAACACUGCUUGAUGGCGGGGAAUACCUCCUGAAACCGGUACCAAAUCCCGCAUAACGUCGCAAGACCAAAGAGGAGGACCUUCGGGCCUCUUUGCUUUCGAUUAUCCCUGGUUCCGCUCCGGAUUAGCUAGUAGGUCAGGUAACGGCUUACCUAGGCGACGAUGCGUAGCCGAGCUGAGAGGAUGACCGGCCACACUGGAACUGAGACACGGUCCAGACUCCUACGGGAGGCAGCAGUAGGGAAUAUUGCACAAUGGGCGCAAGCCUGAUGCAGCCAUGCCGCGUGUAUGAAGAAGGUCUUCGGGUUGUAAAGUACUUUCAUCGGGGAAGAACGGAGUAAAGAUAAUACCUUUGCGCAUUGACGUUACCCGCAGAAGAAGCACCGGCUAACUCCGUG